This is a long non-coding RNA of Epinephelus fuscoguttatus (brown-marbled grouper), 631 nucleotides long. RefSeq lists it as uncharacterized. Lineage: Eukaryota; Metazoa; Chordata; Actinopteri; Perciformes; Serranidae. The transcript has 3 exons. The record is from RefSeq and is a predicted model, not a curated record.
CCUCUCUGGUGACAGGGGUGGUGAAAGGAUCUCAGCCUCUGGGUGGAGACCUGUUGAAGGAUGUAUUUAACUGGAAGUAUUGCAGCAAUGUGCAGUGCAAUGGAAGUUGAUGAGGUGGGUAUACAACUACAUUGACAGGAAGAUGACUGAGGAGGAAGUGUGUACACUCUCCUAUAUAUUUCAGUGGCCUUUUGGCUUGUAGUGACACAGCAAAGGCUGGUGAUACAGAGGGGAGGACAUACAGCAAAGGGCUUUGGCUGAACUUGGACUGCUGAGAUGAGGACUCGGCUUCAAUGGUCCGAAAUACACAUACAUGCACAAAUAGGACCUAUACAUGCCCAAAGUGGAGAGAUGUCAGAGUGAGGGGGCUGCCUUGGUCAGGCGCCCCGAGCAGUUGGGGGGUUCAGUGCCUGGCUCAAGGGCACUCCGGCAGUGCCCAGGAGGUGAACCGGCACCUCUCCAGCCACCAGUCCACGUUCUGCAUUUGGUCUGGACGGGGACUUGAACCGGUGACCCUCCGGUUCCCAACCCAGGUCCGUAUGGGCUGAGCUACUGCCGCCCCCAAAUGUGAGCAUGUUAGCAUCAUUGUGAGCAUGUUAGCCUUGUCCUUGUGAACAUGUUAGCAUUUUUG